CACGUAGGGCGCGAGCGUUGUCCGGAAUUAUUGGGCGUAAAGAGCUCGUAGGCGGCCUGUUGCGUCCGCUGUGAAAGCCCGGGGGCUUAACCCCGGGUCGGCAGUGGAUACGGGCAGGCUAGAGGUAGGUAGGGGAGAAUGGAAUUCCCGGUGUAGCGGUGAAAUGCGCAGAUAUCAGGAGGAACACCUGUGGUGUAGACAGCUUACUGGACCAUUUCUGACGCUGAGACACGAAAGCGUGGGUAGCAAACAGG
RNAcentral lists this ribosomal RNA (254 nucleotides) under uncultured bacterium. RNAcentral's name for it is "partial 16S ribosomal RNA". It matches the Rfam family "Bacterial small subunit ribosomal RNA", at positions 524 to 776 of the family's 1533-position model. The record is from RNAcentral.